UUUUCUUCAUCCAAAUUUCAAUCAUCCAACUGUGCAUCCAUGGAUUGCUCCCAUACUUAUUUCUUUCUCUCUCUUCUUCUUCUUUUCUCCAUUCUCUGCAUCAAUCAUACCGCCAUGUGCGAUGGUAUGUGUUUUCUUGAUUAUACACCUUUCAUUUCUUGAUUUCACCCGACUUUUUCCAUCUGUCUUAUAUUUUUUUUUUAUUUUUUGAUCACACUAGUUUGUACUCUUAUUAUAUUUUUGUGUUCAUAUGUUCUGAUCAAGUGUUUUGCUUCAUGGGUCUUGGUGUAUUGCUCAUUUCAAGCUGCAAAUCAUAUCACAGUUGGGAUUAUGAUCUGGGUUUUUUUUUAAUUACCUUUUUAGUACUUCAUUAUGUAGUUUUAUGGGUUUAUGUGUGCCUACUGCCUAUGAUAUUUUAUUACCUUUUUAGUUAUGUAGAUUUGUGUGUGCCUACUGCCUAUGAUAUAAAUUACUAAAUUUAGGCUGCCAAAGUCGAUUAAUUAAUUGCAUUUUAGAUUAUGAGGAGGAGUAUAUAUUUCGUGCUGAUAAUAUCCGAAUGCAACUAAUAAUGAAUUAUACUGUUUAUGACCAAUUAAACAAAUGAAAUCAAGGAUAUUAGUUGUCAAAGUAAUCCGUGGCCAUGGGUGAACUUAAGGAUUUCAAUGUAAAGGGGCAAACUUAAUAUGAUGGCAUUUGAUUUCAACAAGAUUAAGAUUUGUUGGAUAGGGGUUUCAUGAUCCUAGGUGGAGGUACUUUGACCCCCCAACCUCUUAACUCAUGAAGUGAAAAAAAAAUUAUGGUGUUGACCACUACAUUUUGUAACAUGUUCUUUCUUAAUUCUAGUUAUAGGGUGAAUGUUAGUUUGAAUUCUUUUUGAAAGAUUUACUGUCUUUCUUUUUCAGAGCAAUGGUAUGUUUUAUAGUUUCUG
Molecule: long non-coding RNA, 928 nt
Filed under: Panax ginseng (ginseng)
Lineage: Eukaryota; Viridiplantae; Streptophyta; Magnoliopsida; Apiales; Araliaceae
Description: long non-coding RNA (PGIN_LNC011422)
Source: RNAcentral